Molecule: ribosomal RNA, 326 nt
Filed under: Rhogostoma sp.
Lineage: Eukaryota; Cercozoa; Thecofilosea; Cryomonadida; Rhogostomidae
Description: SSU rRNA
Rfam family: Eukaryotic small subunit ribosomal RNA (bases 56-326)
Source: RNAcentral
GAUUUCUGGUUUAAUGCACCUGGCCCGCAGCCCUCAAGGCUUGUGAGUGCCGGCGCGCGUUUACCAUCUUUCUAGGUUUGCGCUCUUCCAUUUACUUGGCGGAGUUGCAAUUCUCUAGAUCUUUUACUUUGAAAAAAUUAGAGUGUUUCAAGCAGGCUUUAUGCUAUGAAUACAUUAGCAUGGAAUAAUAAUCUAGGACUUCGGUUCUAUUUUGUUGGUUUCUAUAACUGAAGUAAUGAUUGAUAGGGAUAGUUGGGGGUGCUAGUAUUGGCCGGCCAGAGGUGAAAUUCUUGGAUUCGGUCAAGACUAACUUAUGCGAAAGCAUU